Sus scrofa (pig) is the source of this 4017-nucleotide non-coding RNA. The record is from RefSeq and is a predicted model, not a curated record. NCBI's taxonomy places the organism in Eukaryota, Metazoa, Chordata, Mammalia, Artiodactyla, Suidae.
AGCGGCCCUGGGCGCAGUGAGCCAGUGGCGGGGGAAGGCACCGGUGGGGCCGACGGGCGGGUUGAAGGAGGGAAGCGGGCGAGCGAAGUCCCAGUGCGCGCCGCGGCGGCACGGGUACCCUCCCCUUCCGGGCGUGAGGCGCUGUGAGGAAAGCUGAAGCGAGCGGACUCACACCGGCAGCGAGGCGCCGCUACCGCCGCCCCAGCCCAGCCUCCCUCGGCUUCGGCGCUCCCGUCGUGGGGGUCCGGGUUCCUCAGCACACCCAGCUCCAGCAGCCCCAGAGCCUGUCCCCAGUCCUUCGAAAGCCCCGGCGCCAGUCCGGGCCCUUGGCGGGGAGGAUGACGGAGCUGCAGUCGGCACUGCUACUGCGAAGACAGCUGGCAGAUGUUUUCAGUCCCACUUCUCACUACUGACCUUCCUCGUACGACGGUCACUGAACUGGCGCCUCUCUGGGGUUCUGCCCAGAAGAUUAGCCUUCCUCCUUCGCUGCACCCCCUCUAACUCAACAAAAAUCCAGUGGAAGGCUUUUCAGCAGGUUUAAUAGAUGACAAUGAUCUCUACCGAUGGGAAGUCCUUAUUAUUGGUCCUCCAGAUACACUUUAUGAAGGUGGUGUUUUUAAGGCUCAUCUCACUUUCCCAAAAGAUUAUCCUCUUCGGCCUCCUAAAAUGAAAUUCAUUACAGAAAUCUGGCAUCCAAAUGUUGAUAAAAAUGGUGAUGUGUGCAUUUCUAUUCUUCAUGAGCCCGGAGAAGAUAAAUAUGGUUAUGAAAAGCCAGAGGAACGCUGGCUGCCUAUUCACACCGUGGAAACCAUCAUGAUUAGUGUCAUUUCUAUGCUGGCAGACCCUAAUGGCGACUCGCCUGCUAAUGUGGACGCUGCGAAAGAAUGGAGAGAAGACAGAAAUGGAGAAUUCAAAAGGAAAGUCGCCCGCUGUGUAAGAAAAAGCCAAGAGACUGCUUUUGAGUGACAUUUAUUCAACAGCUGUAACUUCACUUAUUUCAGGGUCUCCAAUGAGAAACAUGGCACUGUUUUUCCUGCACUCUACCCACCUAUUGCUGGACUUCUGAUGUAACAAGUUGGCAAACACUGGCUGGAACUGGGCUGCAAUAAAACAUGCCAGUAUCAAUGCUGACAAGAGCCUAACAAGUGCCAACUUACAGAUGAUUACGCAUUUUGAAUUCUAAUGAACUGUUUUAACCUUCAGGAAGAAUUGUAAAGACCUGUACAUAGCACAACAUGAUCCGGAUAAUAUAUAUACUGUUCAUGUACAUCCACAAAUACACCUUGUACCAAAUAAUGCUUUCUUGUAGUAGAAUAAGAAUCGUGUAAAUUCUCAAAGAUUUUAGCAGGUUUUCUUUCCCUAUUCAUUGUUUCUUAUCAGUUUAAAAAAAAAAAAAAAACUCCUUAAAGCAUGUCAGAUGAAGAGCAAUUAGGAUUAAAAGUAUCCAUUUAAUUUCCUUUAAACCAUUGAGGCUUCAUUAAACUCUUUUCACUUACUAAACUUUUGUAUCUUCUUUGUUUUGACACACUCCCCUUUGCUUUUAUCUCUUCUCUCUGCCAGGAAGUUUUCAAGUCAGUUCAAAUACUGAACUACUCAAUAAGCAACUACUUGAUUUUUACUGAUGACUUCAGGGGAAUGGUCAUCACUAGGUGCUUUGUCCCUUUUGUAUUACACUCGCACCCAUCUCUUGGAUUGGAUGUAGCAAUAACAUUUUUUGUUGUUGAGAGCUCUUGAAUUUAGUCAUUAUCCCCAAGAACUAAAAGGAGUUGGUUCUGAAUUCAAUUCAGAUUUCAAAUGACCGAAAUUUAUCCCGAACAAUGCAAAAUCCAGGUUUUAUUUUUGCCCUUCAGUUGUCUAAUGUGAAGGUUGGAUGAAUAUAGCAUGCACAGCUACAGGCUUUCUAUUUAGCUUCUGGGUUUGCUAUUAAAAAUGCUGUUUACCCUCAUUCCCUUCUCCUCAGCCCUUCAUAUUUCUUUGCCUCUCUUCUUCUAUACUGCAGAUUUUUUCCCACCUAUUGUACAAAGAAAUUGCGAUGUAUAUUUUCAUGUAAUUUGAUUUUGGAAUUCUGUCACCUUAUGUAGUGAGUUCUUCCAAAAUAUAAUUUUUUUCCAAUAAUUGUCAAGUUGUUGGCUUUUAUUGUAUUGAAUGAAGGUUAUAAUACUGAGUGCCAGAGAAGUGCAGUUUAGAGAAAUCUCAGGUUGAUUCCUUAUGCAAACAAACUUAAUACUUGAAAAUCACUUGGCCAUGGCAGUAUAUGUAUUGGACUCUAUAUAGAUUCUUAUAUGAAUCUCAAAGCAAUAUAGGGAUAUAAAUGCUCUGUUUGCUAUUGACAUAUUCUGUCACUGACAUAGUGCACUUGGAUUUUAUUAAUGUUUGAGCAUAAGUAUAUUUCAUAAAUUUUCUAAAACAGCAUCAGGAAAUGGUAAAAUGAGCAUGUACGGUGUUGAAGGCGGGCCCAGGUCUCUCUGUGUUUGGUGUAGGGUUGGGACUAGGAAGUAGUCUUUGGUAUAUAAGGGACAGAACUUGAGACAGUACCAGAUGGAACAUGGCAUUUGUGAGAAUCAGGGAUGCAUCUCUGCUUUGUGGGAUUUGAAAAAAUGCUUUGGCAGAAGAGGGAAAGGAUUCCCCCAAGUAGCCGGUACUUUAUAAAUUUUGCAUGUCUUUUUUUAAGCAAAAUAAUUGAGGAUAUAGUUACAGUAAAGAGUGUUUUUUCUAAGGCUCAGUCUGUUCUUCACUCUGAAGCAUUAUAAAAACCCAUAAAUGUGUAAUGACUGAAUGUGAAAUUGUUUGAUUCAUUGCAGCCCAACUUUUUUCAAGAACUUCGCUUGUGACUUUAUUUUUGCAAAGACUGAAAAUUGUUGCCCCUAUGUUCCAGUACUGCAUAACCUACCAGGGACUUUGAAACCCUUUUGUUUUAAAUCAGAAGUCGUUCACAUGAUGGUUGUCUGUGGCAAGAUGGAGUCUGAAUUUUGCUCCCCUGUUGCUGUAAUUCAGCUAGCCAUCAGUUGAGUUAAAACCUGGGAUUUGACUCUUUAGGGAGGAGCAAAUAUCCUAGUACUCAGGGACAGCUAUUCUUUAAGUGCCACUUUAAUGCAGUUACUUUGGUUUAACCAUGUGUGUUUAGGGCUAGAUCUAGGGGAGUAGAAGGAGAACCAGGAGCGAGUGCACGUCUCUUCACACUUUUCCACCCGGUGCCCUGACCCUGCUACAUAUCUUUGAAAUACAGGCCUCCGUAGAUGUCUUUUUCUCUGUCAGAGGUGUCAUCUGUGCCUUUCCCAGUGUUCAUCUGACAGUGAAUCUCAAUGCCUCUACAUUUGAUGUUAAACCACACUCAGGUGACACUGAUCCAUGUGGCUCUUGUCCCGGUGGUGCCUCAUCGUUAGUAUGAGGACAGUUCUCUCUUGCUUUAGGAAAAGGUUUUUUCUCCCUGACCUUGUGCCAACUAUCAGCAACACCUACAUCAUCUUAUGGAUUGUAGGACUGUUGCCUAUUUUCCUAAACUCCUUCCAAGUUCUUACAAAGGCUUAUCUAUUUUUGUGUUCAUAAUGGGAUGGACGAUUUCAGUGGCUUUCUGGCCUCCUUUUGUGAGUUUAAAAUCCAAAUGAGGUUGGUUUCCUUGUCAUUACAAGGUAAUAUCUUUGUGAGGUUAUUCCACUGGUUAUGCGAUCACUUGGGUGUCACAGUAUCUUUAAUGGCCUUCAUUCUUGGUUGUGAAAUUUCAUUUUAUAUGCUCAUUCACCCUCUACAAAUCUACCCACUUUGGGUUGUGGUGCCUGUGUAUCUUUGCCCGUCUGGUCUCCAGUUGGUGGAAUUACCUUUUUUGUACUGCCACUUCUCAGCAUCUUUGAAAUUUGACAUAAUGUUGCUUCAUUCCAGUUUUUUUUUUCCUUUAGUUUUUGUAAUGUGUUGAUUGUAUUUAACUAUGUGAGUUCUGUUGUGAUGUUUACUGUAUUGUAAAGCACCUUGAUCAUGUGAUGGGUGCUCUAUAAAUCAAUAAAUGAUGACUUAGAGGCUGUA